Long non-coding RNA from Siniperca chuatsi (mandarin fish), 750 nucleotides. RefSeq lists it as uncharacterized. The record is from RefSeq and is a predicted model, not a curated record. The transcript has 3 exons. Lineage: Eukaryota; Metazoa; Chordata; Actinopteri; Centrarchiformes; Sinipercidae.
AGCUAAUUGUAGCCCAGGGUAAAAAUCCAUCCUCCAACAAUAAUUCAAUCUAGUUCCAGUCCAGGUUUCCAUUUCUUCCCUUCCAAUCCUCUGUAUUUGAUGGAGUUGCCAGUCCAUGUUUUCCACCUUUUGUUCCCUUGCCAUAAGACACACCCCUUUGUUUUAAUUAGCCAAUCACAGUCCGCUGCCUCAGUAUAAAAGCUGUCCUGGCUUCUCUCAGCUCAGUUGUGUGGGAGAGAAGCCAGAGGACAGCAGCUGUAGAAACCAGAAUCAUCCGGUGAUUGGGCGUUGUCGUGCGUGCUGGGCAAAACAUUCUUACUGAACUGGCCAGGUGCCCAUUCAGGGUAUAUUCGAUGGCGAGCUAGGCUCUGGAGCACACAACGUUCCUGUUAUCCAUUCAACACUCUUUGGUCUGGUAGGAGGCUAUACAGUCUGUCCUUUUUCUCUCCCACCUCCUCGAGCUACGCAACCGCUACAAUAUUCAACCCCUUGGACUAUCGCGCUAAUGGACAUUUCAAAGCAUUCAAUAACAAACAUAUGGACUUAAACGCGGUGCGCAGCUUUGGUGUUACAUUCUUGGUUGGGAGAACAGACACUGCUUUUUGUUGUUUCCUUCUUGCUUCAAUGAACAAUAUUUUGGACAUAUGAUGUAACUCAAAAUUGAUUGAAGUUAUUUCUGCUGCAGUGGUUAUGUAUAUAUUGGGUUCUAUUAUAUUCACUGUUUAUACAAUACACUUUUCCUUAAUUCAA